Molecule: small nuclear RNA, 70 nt
Organism: Cavia porcellus (domestic guinea pig)
Lineage: Eukaryota; Metazoa; Chordata; Mammalia; Rodentia; Caviidae
Rfam family: U4 spliceosomal RNA
About the family: U4 small nuclear RNA (U4 snRNA) is a component of the major U2-dependent spliceosome. The structure of U4 snRNA from yeast and human has been reported.
Source: Rfam
GGCUUUGUGCAGUGGCAGUAUCAUAGCCAACGAUGUUUACCUGAGGCAUGAUUAUUGCUAAUUAAAAAAA